RNAcentral lists this ribosomal RNA (373 nucleotides) under uncultured bacterium. RNAcentral describes it as "bacterial SSU rRNA". It matches the Rfam family "Bacterial small subunit ribosomal RNA", at positions 28 to 404 of the family's 1533-position model. The record is from RNAcentral.
GACGAACGCUGGCGGCGUGCUUAACACAUGCAAGUCGAACGAUGAAGCCCUUUCGGGGGUGGAUUAGUGGCGAACGGGUGAGUAACACGUGGGUAACCUGCCCUGUACCCUGGGAUAAGCCUUGGAAACGAGGUCUAAUACCGGAUAUGACCUGCUCUCGCAUGGGGGUGGGUGGAAAGUUUUGGCGGUGCAGGAUGGACCCGCGGCCUAUCAGCUUGUUGGUGGGGUGAUGGCCUACCAAGGCGACGACGGGUAGCCGGCCUGAGAGGCGACCGGCCACACUGGGACUGAGACACGGCCCAGACUCCUACGGGAGGCAGCAGUGGGGAAUAUUGCACAAUGGGCGAAAGCCUGAUGCAGCGACGCCGCGUGA